Molecule: long non-coding RNA, 488 nt
Organism: Brassica oleracea var. oleracea
Lineage: Eukaryota; Viridiplantae; Streptophyta; Magnoliopsida; Brassicales; Brassicaceae
Exons: 3
Source: RefSeq, a predicted model, not a curated record
GUUGUAUCACAUGCUGGUGUCCAUGUAUUACAUUUGGCCAAGUCGCUGAGAUUGUAGAUCAAGGAUCAACCACGUGUGGUACGGCUGGAGCAAUAUACACGUUGAUAAAUUUUUUCACGGGUUGCGGAUGCCUCUACUCGUGUUUCUAUCGUGGAAAGAUGAGAGCUCAAUACAAUAUUGGAGGCAAUGAUUGUGGAGAUUGCCUUAAACAUUUCUUCUGCGAGCUCUGUGCUCUCACUCGGCAAUACCGUGAACUCAAGAACCGUGGCUACGAUAUGAAACUUGGAUGGGCCGGGAACGCACAGUUGCAACAGAACCAAGGCGUGGCGAUGGGUGCUCCAGUCUUCCAAGGCGGCAUGACCCGCUAAGACUCAUUCCUUUAUAUGUAAUUUAUUUAGUCAUAUUAGAAAGUGAGGUCUAAUCUUCUGUGUUGAUUUGUGUAAUACGCUUGUUAUGAUUUAUGAAAAUGUUUGUAUAUGUUUGUAUAA